AAUGAUAUACACACACAUAUAUCUGAAAAAUAUGCAGCGGUGAUUUUGAUGGAAAUGUGCCGGUUACUUCAACAAAGUAUUCCAUGGAGAAGUUAAAUCUCACUCUUAAGACGAAGUGGCGCCCUUGGUUCGUCAAUGGAGAGGUAUGAGGAUACACACAAGAGUACAAGGGAAGCUUGACAUUUGCAACAGUGAGAGGAGCAGGGCAUGAAGUGCCAAGCUACCAGCCAGGAAGAGCCCUUUCGUUGGUCAAUCACUUCUUAAAAGGCAUCCCUCUUCCUAAUUCCAUUACCUCAAUACUACAUUAUGCCUAAUUCCUAUAUUUAGUUUUUACCCAUUUUGAUUAAGUUCUUUUUUUGGGUGAUUUAUGUUAUCUUCAAGCAAUGUAAUUUCAGUUAUCAAUCAUUAUAAUAAAGUUGUGGUUGGAACUGC
Molecule: long non-coding RNA, 432 nt
Organism: Neltuma alba
Lineage: Eukaryota; Viridiplantae; Streptophyta; Magnoliopsida; Fabales; Fabaceae
Exons: 2
Source: RefSeq, a predicted model, not a curated record